RNAcentral lists this long non-coding RNA (226 nucleotides) under Elaeis guineensis (African oil palm). Its description in RNAcentral is "long non-coding RNA (EGUI_LNC027111)". Lineage: Eukaryota; Viridiplantae; Streptophyta; Magnoliopsida; Arecales; Arecaceae. The record is from RNAcentral.
CUUAGGCUCAAACAGAUAGCUCCCUUGGCCUUUAGGUCAUAAAGCCAACACCACUAUACCUGUCUCUAACACUAUCAUCAAAGUUGAUCUUGAGGUACAUCGAAAGUAGGGACUCCUAAGAGAUAAAAAUCCAUCGAGCACUAUAUGAGCAAAAUGGGAAUCCCAUAUCUCUCGAGGUCUAAAAGUCACUUCAGUCAGCUCUUUAGCCGAAAUUAGGGCUCUCUCU